GCCUUGAAGUGAUUUUCAUGUUGAAUUGCAAGUUCAAAGGAGCAGUCUAAAGUUUCUGCCGGGGCUUC
Molecule: transfer RNA, 68 nt
Filed under: Cercocebus atys (sooty mangabey)
Lineage: Eukaryota; Metazoa; Chordata; Mammalia; Primates; Cercopithecidae
Description: tRNA-Cys
Source: RNAcentral